CCUACGGGUGGCAGCAGUGGGGAAUAUUGCACAAUGGGGGAAACCCUGAUGCAGCGACGCCGCGUGAGUGAAGAAGUAUUUCGGUAUGUAAAGCUCUAUCAGCAGGGAAGAAAAGGACGGUACCUGAUGAAGAAGCCCCGGCUAACUACGUGCCAGCAGCCGCGGUAAUACGUAGGGGGCAAGCGUUAUCCGGAUUUACUGGGUGUAAAGGGAGCGUAGACGGCAGCGCAAGUCUGAAGUGAAAUGCCGGGGCUUAACCCCGGAACUGCUUUGGAAACGGUGCAGCUAGAGUGCAGGAGAGGUAAGUGGACUUCCUAGUGUGGCGGUUGCAUGCGUCGAUCUUAGGCGGAACACCAGUGGCGCCGGCGGCUUACUGGACUGUACCUGACGUUGAGGCUCGACAGCGUGGGGAGCACACAGGAUUAGAUACCCUAGUAGUC
RNAcentral lists this ribosomal RNA (440 nucleotides) under uncultured bacterium. RNAcentral's name for it is "partial 16S ribosomal RNA". It matches the Rfam family "Bacterial small subunit ribosomal RNA", at positions 338 to 795 of the family's 1533-position model. The record is from RNAcentral.